GACACUUGCCACUUACUAGCUGUGUGACCCUGGGCAAGUCACUUAACCCCAUUGUCUAGCCAAAAGAAAGAAAGUUGUAAUUCUCAUGCAGCAAGACAAACUGUAAUGUUAAAGAAUUACUGAACAUAGAAAGGUUGAAGACUGCAUAUCAUUGGAAAAAGGGGAGGGAACCUGGUUGUUUGGUAUGUUUUUUGAGGGGAUAAGAAAUUUUUGGUGGCUUUUACAUUUUAAGUCACUAUUAAAGAUGGGAGAAUUUAUUCUCCAUGCUAUCUUUCUCUGUUUAUCAUACCAUUUUCUCAGGCGUGUGAGGUUGAGUGAUAUUUCAUUACACAUCUAACUGGAUAUUUGGUGAAAAACCAAGCUGCCAGCUUUGAGAGUUUCCUUAAUAGAUUUUACAUUUCAACAUCAUCCACCCCUCUGGUGAAAGACUGAAUUUAUGUGAAUUGAUUCAGGAAUGAAUGGUGGGUAGGGAUAGCACUUAAUUAGCCAGAUGAGAAACGUUUUAUUAUUACAUAUUAACACUUCUUGGAAGCAUUUGGCCGUGGCAUUUCAGUGGCUGCAACAUGUACUCUAUUUCCAUCCCCAUUAAUGAAACAACUCACAAUUUUUCUACGAAUAUUUUUCAAAUCAUGAUUGAAUUUUAUAUAAUAGUGAUAUAAAUUUCCAUGUUCAUAGCCCUAUAUAGCCGUGCUCUUAUUUAGAAAAAUGGUAAUAAUUUCGACUUCAAUGUUUUUUUUGUUUUGUUUUUCCUGAAAGCAAACUGAUUUAUAGCUCAUAGAUUUUAGAGGGAAAAAUUACAGCAAAGCUCCCCAUCUGGGCAGAAAUUCCAUUCUUAUUGUCUUUAAUAUUCCAUGUGGACAGAAUACUAAAACCUAUCUUCAGCAACUGACACCUCUUUGGUCUAUUCUUGAGUUGAAAAGGAGAGAUUUAUAAAACGAAGACUAAAUCAAGUAGGUACUUUAUACCAGAAAGUGAUAGCUUGUUGUGGAUGCUGAAAUACAAACAUUUUUUUCCCCCAGCAAUGUCAUAGUUCUGAAUUUUAAGGUGACUGAUUUUUUUUUUAAAUGCCUAGCUGUCUCCUCGUUUGAGAAAUCAGUGUCUGUGGCUUUCUUUCAUGAGAGUGAGGAUCACAUCUUUUUUAGUACACUUUACCUUCACUUAGACUGUUUUUGGGGACCACUCUAUUUACUCCUCUACCCUAUGAUAUUAAGCGCCCUCUUUCCAUUACAUUAAAUGUGCUUUCAGCAUACUCUAGCUUGCAUUGUUGCUGGGAAGAGGAAUGACUGUAGGCUGGGUCCAGUUGAUAGAAUCUUAGAGAACAAGUGUAUUUAAGCCUAAACAAUGAGUCUCUUUGCACAUUUUAGGUGGAUAAGCAUCACCAAGUUUUAUACAUCACAAGCGUAGCAUUUAACAUGGGAAAUUCCCUUGGUGCUGAGAGCUGGUGCUAACACACUUGAACGGCUUAGUGAUAGCUUGCUGUUUGUUUACAUUUUUUUGGCUUACUAAGCACACUUCUAAUUUUUACACCUAAUGCCUUCAUUUCCUGUAGUAGCCAAAUCAUUUGCACAACAUAAUACUAUGUCUCCCCUCCCAGAAAUAAUGAAAAAUUUUCAUUCACCUUCUGUGUGUGUAUAUAUGGACAGAGUGUAUGUGGAGUUGGGUAUGUAUGUAUAUUUGUAUGUAUGACUGUAUGUUUCUAAAGGGACCAGUGUUAAGGAGAAAGCUUGGUUUUGUUGUGAGAUUUUGACCCAGGUGAACAAAACUGGCAAUAGAUGGAGUACAGACUGGUCGGCACCUCCCUAGGGAUAGUCUGUGGUUCUGAUUGGAUAACAUCUGAUCAAAUUGUAAGAGUCGGUCCUUUUUUGCUGUUAUGUUACAGUGCACUAAAGAAAAAAGUGUACAUUUCUGUAAAUGUGAAAAGAAAGGAUCUGCACCCUUGCCUCUGUCUAGAACAAUUGGAAACAGGGACAGUGAAACAGUUUCAAACUUUUUUUGAUGACAAAGAGCAAUAUGAAAUUUUCUAACUUUUAAAUUAUUUUAUUUAGCCUAGUGUGUAUGCCUAUAUACACAAAGUCUAUCUGCACAACAAAACUGAGAUUUUGAUUUAAUCCCUAUUGACUUCCCUUCUCUCUCCUAUCUCAAACUUAAUUUAUGAGCUUGAUUUUUUAAAAAAAUGUGGCCUUGCUAGAUUCUUUCCUCUAAAAGUGGUCGCACUAUGUAAAAACUGUGCUUUGCCCCAUGUGGGUUUUCCUUGUGCUACUGCUACAAUGUGUCUGCUGCUUGUGAACCAGGAGUGAAAGGUGGAAUUUUAACAACAGCACUGAUUCUAAUGUGCAAGCUUUUGCUUAAAUUGAUGUAUAGUAAGAAGGGUUUUCUACAUGCAAGGUCUUCAUAGAAUUCACUACAAUCUGUACGUAGCUAUCUAAGCAUGUGAUGAAUUUAUUUGAAAGGCUAUCCAUCCCUUUAUUUGAAAGGCUAUACCAAGAAGGUAUAAAAUGGUAAAUAAAGCUGCAUGACCAACUAUCCCUCUGGAUGUAAUGGGUAAUUUUUUCCCCUCUUGGAGUGUACUCAACUGACCAUCUUUCAAAGUCUGUGGCCUGUCAUACUUAUUUUGAGAAACUGAAUCUUGAUUUUACAAUUUCAACUAGAAAUUAUCCUUAGUGGCUGGGAUUUCAAAGAAAUAAAUUGUAAAUAGAAAAAGCCAUAGAUAACACAGUUUCAAAGUUGAUAAAUAUGAUUUUAGAAAAAAAGCUAGCCUGUCUUUAGGAAAAUUCAAAUUAGAGGUUAAUUUUGGUUCUCUGAAAUCAAAGUUUUUAUUUUGAAGUGUGUAUUCUCAUGCCAAAUCAGUUCGUCUUCUGUGAAUUUAUAUUCUUUCCACUGGGCAUGUGACACUUGCUCUGUCUUCAUUGACCUUCCUAUUCUACCUCCACCACUUGUUUUACCUCACCUGGCUCAGCUAUUUCACCACCUUCUGGGUGUUGUGUCCAUCUUAUUUAAACAGAUGUGUCUACAAGCUAGCAAAUUGAUCAGAGAGGUGAAACUGCCAUAUCCUCCUGUGGAUUCAAAGAAUGACCUUUAAGUUCCAGAACUGAAAGAAUGAAUUUGAGGAUGGAGUUGGUUCGGCUAAAGCCUGAUUCUAGAAACUAAAACAACCACCAAUCAAGUCAGCAGGAGCCCUAGGACAGAGUUUGAGGAUGUUCCUUUCUAAUCCUUUCUUAGCGUUUCUGUAUGGCAUAAUAAACUCUCACUAUAGUCUAAUGUUCUCAUUACAAUGAAAAGCAGCUCUUUUGUUAAGUAAUUUUCAGUUUUUCAUUUGUCAACUCUAAUAAAACUAGUCUCCAAGUGAUAUUAGACUAUAAAAUUAAAUUUAAAAGUGUCAGUGGUGUUCUCAAAGAUAAAUCUGGGUAAGAAAAAAAAUCAGUAUGACUGUAGCUAAUAAGCCAAGUAUUGUGCUUAAAUUGGUUUGUUGAUAAAGUAGAAAUCAUUAAGAGUGACAAAUAUUUUUCAGAUCUCAAAAGCUUACUGCCCUUUCCAUCUGUGUAUAAGGUUGUUGUGCUGUGUUUUUUUUUUAUCCUUGACUUUGGUUUGUUUUUUAAUUCAGUAUUUUUUUUAAAAAUUCAGUACCUGUAGUCUCCCCAGCAUAUACAUUGUUUAACUGGGCAGAUAUUCACAACAAUUUACAUAAUAUCAGAACACAGUAUACUCAUUUUGCUUUUUAAAGUAUUAGGGCUAUUAGGGCAUAUUUAUUUCUGCACCCUCUAACUCAAGUAAUAAUAAAAUAGGCUCGUAGAGAUAAUAUGAAAUUAAACCAAAAAGAUAUGCAGAAAACUUGUGGAUAUGAACAGUUUAUCUUAAUCUCCAUUAUCUACACAGUGCAAAGGAAGGAGCAUUGUACAUAAUCCAAAAAUCAUUUCUGCUGUGCAUUCGUCGUUGGAAUGUUGUCAGAUGCGUUUAAUCACAUGUCAUACUCAGCUCCUCUGUUUCAUCUUUAUCCUCAGUUUCACUCUAUCUAGCAAGAUGAUGGGACAGUUUAUAGACAGUCCACAGAGGAUACCAUGUAAAGUUCAUUAUUUACACCGUUCAUUAAUAGCAUGGUACAGUAGAGCAAUGGAUAGGAUGUGAAAGAUCUGGGUUUAAUCCCACUUCUGACACUACCUGUAUGACCCUGGACCAGUCACUUAACCUCUCUGAACCUCAGUUUCCUCAUCUGUAAAACGAAGGGAGUUGGAUUAGAUAGCCUUUAAAGUAUUUUUCAGCUUUAACUAUGCGACCCUUUAAAUUUGGAAUCCUAAAUCCUACCAAAAGUAUUGUAGCCUUAUUACUUUUACUGUAUGGGCUUAGAAAGCUAGAUUUUUGGACACUAACACAAGUAGGUGCCACCAAGUGAAUGGUGGCAUGCUACCAUAGAGUCUAACUAAACUAAGCUACUCUUUCCCCAAGAAUAGACAGUUGGAUAAUAGUAAGCAAUAUUUAGAGAAAUUUUCAUGUAAAGAUACAGUCUGACAAGACCACAACUGUUUGCUGACUAAAUUUCAGCUUUUCUCAUUUUGUUUGAAGGAAAACCUUUGACUCUAACCUACUCUAACCUGUGUUAAAAUCCUUUAAGGAAAGAAGAUUGGGUUCAGCUGCUUGCAGCUGUACUGUCCUGCUAACUGAUUUCCUACUAGCUCCAAAACUUAAGGAAUUGCCUGUGUUCUGUGCUGGACAAGGCAGGGUAAACACUCCCUUUGCAAGAGGGAGGAAUAGUGUUGACUCAACAUGCUGAGCUUCCUCUUGGUAGUCACAGUCAGAGUGGAAAGAGAUCUGUGGCCAUCUUGAGCUUCUACAAGAAUUACUUAAACAACAUCACCUAAAAGUGGUCAGACGACCCUUACCUAAAGACCUUUUUAGGGGGAACCUAAUUAGAAGCAGCCAUCAUGGCUCCACACAAGCUUUGUCUUCUCCAGAUGAUCCAUCCACAGUUCCUUCAACCAGUCCAAAUGAACACAUACCUUCACUCCUCUCCAACUGCUACUGGCUCAUUUCCUUAUUUUAUACCCAGGUUCUAAGAUAAUCUGUUUUCUCAUAGGGU
Molecule: non-coding RNA, 5071 nt
Organism: Phascolarctos cinereus (koala)
Lineage: Eukaryota; Metazoa; Chordata; Mammalia; Diprotodontia; Phascolarctidae
Source: RefSeq, a predicted model, not a curated record